Molecule: ribosomal RNA, 394 nt
Filed under: uncultured bacterium
Lineage: Bacteria
Description: bacterial SSU rRNA
Rfam family: Bacterial small subunit ribosomal RNA
Source: RNAcentral
GUGUCAGCAGCCGCGGUAAUACGAAGGGGGCGAGCGUUGUUCGGAGUUACUGGGCGUAAAGGGCGCGUAGGCGGCGCUCCAAGUUAGGCGUGAAAGCCCCGGGCUCAACCUGGGAAUUGCGCUUAAGACUGGAGUGCUCGAGUGCGGAAGAGGUGAGUGGAAUUCCCAGUGUAGAGGUGAAAUUCGUAGAUAUUGGGAAGAACACCAGUGGCGAAGGCGGCUCACUGGUCCGCAACUGACGCUGAGGCGCGAAAGCGUGGGGAGCAAACAGGAUUAGAUACCCUGGUAGUCCACGCCGUAAACGAUGAGUGCUAGACGUUGGGGGACUCAGUCCCUUGGUGUCGCAGCUAACGCAUGAAGCACUCCGCCUGGGGAGUACGGCCGCAAGGUUAAA